CACGUAGGGGGCGAGCGUUGUCCGGAUUUAUUGGGCGUAAAGAGCUCGUAAGCGGCUCGGUAAGUCGGGUGUGAAACCUCCAGGCUCAACCUGGAGACGCCACCUGAUACUGCUGUGGCUAGAGUCCGGUAGGGGAGUGUGGAACUCCUGGUGUAGCGGUGAAAUGCGCAGAUAUCAGGAAGAACACCAGCGGCGAAGGCGGCACUCUGGGCCGGAACUGACGCUGAGGAGCGAAAGCGUGGGUAGCAAACAGG
Molecule: ribosomal RNA, 254 nt
Filed under: uncultured bacterium
Lineage: Bacteria
Description: partial 16S ribosomal RNA
Rfam family: Bacterial small subunit ribosomal RNA
Source: RNAcentral